CCAAGGGAAUAAGUGAAGCUGCCAGCAUGAUCUAUCUAGCUAGCCUUGGUUUUGGCAUUACAUUGUUUGAUGGUUUGGUCUAGUUUGAGCAUGAGAUUCAUAUGUUUUAUGUACAUGUAAAGCAACCCUUGCUGGCUAGUUAGGUCAUGCUCGGACAGCCUCACUCAUUCCUGUU
Molecule: microRNA precursor, 175 nt
Filed under: Daucus carota subsp. sativus
Lineage: Eukaryota; Viridiplantae; Streptophyta; Magnoliopsida; Apiales; Apiaceae
Description: sRNA DCAR_mi00137
Rfam family: MIR167 microRNA precursor family
Source: RNAcentral